Molecule: ribosomal RNA, 385 nt
Filed under: Pelobates cultripes (western spadefoot toad)
Lineage: Eukaryota; Metazoa; Chordata; Amphibia; Anura; Pelobatidae
Description: SSU rRNA
Rfam family: Eukaryotic small subunit ribosomal RNA
Source: RNAcentral
GCCAUACCCACUAGGCCCAUAGUCAUGGGGCAGAAGGUUGGCAAUUAGGCUUCUCCAUAACAUAGGGAAGCAGGGCAAUUUGUCAAAUAAAAUAACAGUUACAAAUGGCAGUCUGUAACACCCCCAAAAUAAUGGGACAUAUAAUAAAGACAACUCUGUUCCGCUAUUGACAUUAUAGUUGCGCAGGCACUUUGUUGACUCUAGAGAACCUUGGGCCAAUCGCACAUCCCCGUGACGGCGACUUUGCAUUUGGAUGUCAUCCAUACCAACUUUCGAUGCCAGUUUCUGCGCCUACCAUGGUGACCAUGGGUAACGGGGAAUCAGGGUUCCAUUCCAUACAAGGACCCUGAGAAACGGCUAGCACAUGCAAGGAAGGCAGCAGGCG